This 1032-nucleotide ribosomal RNA is filed under the name marine metagenome. Its description in RNAcentral is "bacterial SSU rRNA". It matches the Rfam family "Bacterial small subunit ribosomal RNA", at positions 364 to 1415 of the family's 1533-position model. The record is from RNAcentral.
UUGCACAAUGGGGGAAACCCUGAUGCAGCGAUGCCGCGUGAGUGAAGAAGGCCUUUGGGUUGUAAAGCUCUUUCGUCGGGGAAGAAAAUGACUGUACCCGAAUAAGAAGGUCCGGCUAACUUCGUGCCAGCAGCCGCGGUAAUACGAAGGGACCUAGCGUAGUUCGGAAUUACUGGGCUUAAAGAGUUCGUAGGUGGUUGAAAAAGUUGGUGGUGAAAUCCCAGAGCUUAACUCUGGAACUGCCAUCAAAACUUUUCAGCUAGAGUUUGAUAGAGGAAAGCAGAAUUUCUAGUGUAGAGGUGAAAUUCGUAGAUAUUAGAAAGAAUACCAAUUGCGAAGGCAGCUUUCUGGAUCAUUACUGACACUGAGGAACGAAAGCAUGGGUAGCGAAGAGGAUUAGAUACCCUCGUAGUCCAUGCCGUAAACGAUGUGUGUUAGACGUUGGAAAUUUAUUUUCAGUGUCGCAGCGAAAGCGAUAAACACACCGCCUGGGGAGUACGACCGCAAGGUUAAAACUCAAAUGAAUUGACGGGGACCCGCACAAGUAGUGGAGCAUGUGGUUUAAUUCGAAGAUACGCGCAGAACCUUACCAACACUUGACAUGUUCGUCGCGACUUUAAGAGAUUAAAGUUUUCGGUUCGGCCGGACGAAACACAGGUGCUGCAUGGCUGUCGUCAGCUCGUGUCGUGAGAUGUUGGGUUAAGUCCCGCAACGAGCGCAACCCUCACUUUUAGUUGCCAUCAUUUAGUUGGGCACUCUGAAAGAACUGCCAGUGAUAAGCUGGAGGAAGGUGGGGAUGACGUCAAGUCCUCAUGGCCCUUACGUGUUGGGCUACACACGUGCUACAAUGGUAUUUACAACAGGAAGCAAAACGGCGACGUUUAGCAAAUCCUUAAAAAAUACCUCAGUUCGGAUUGCACUCUGCAACUCGAGUGCAUGAAGCUGGAAUUACUAGUAAUCGUGGAUCAGCGUGCCACGGUGAAUGCGUUCCCGGGUCUUGUACACACCGCCCGUCACACCAUGGGAGUUGGU